CCUGAUCCUGUUUUCUCCUUCUUCGUGUUUCUGCUAACUGUUGCAAGCACCUGUGGAUGUUUGGCGAGCGGUGAGGUUGCGAUCAAGCAUAGCCAUGUGCUGCUCGAACGUAUUCGUGAUUCACAUAGAAAAUUUAGUUUCUGCAGCGAUGACUGCUUCUUUUUUCUUCUUCUCCACUCGUGGAUGCUUCUUUCUUUAAUUUCGUCUUCUUAGCUUAAUUCCUAACUACAUGUCUCCAUGUACGUGUGCGUGUGUGUAUGUUUGAAUGUCCAUGAAGACUUACGUAUGCAUGCAGGCAUAGAUCUGAGAAGAAGAUACCAGUUGGCCAUGGUAGCAUCGUCUCUCUUGGUCAUGUCAUGGUGUGUUGGAGAACCAAGUGUAUUAGGUAUCUCUCACCAGCGACAACAGCGCUGCUUCUGCCACGGCUGGGGCGUGGGCCCGACGGAGCAGGCCCCAACCACGCAUCGUCCCUUCUCACUCUUCGACCAUGUCAAGCCGCCGUGGCUGGAAUCGUAUCUCCUCCUGUCUUCCCCUGCGUUCCUCUCUAUCUCAAUCCUCGCAUGGCUAAGCGUUCGCAUCAACACAACUACACUGUUGUUGUCUCUCUCUCUCUCUUCUCUCUCUCUCUCUCUCUCUCUCUCUGAAGAUUCACUUCUGUCUCCGUAAGGAUGGAGGACGCACUUCCAUUAGCACCAGCAAAGGCUUACCACUCCUUGGGUCGGCUCCGUUUCGCUAGUCACGUUUCCCGUAUCCCUUUUUCUCCUGCAUCUCUUAUUGAAACCCUCCCAAUUCUCCAUCCCGGACAAUCGAUUCGAUAGAAGCAGGAUGGGUGCGAAGAUGGGAUCGGGGAGGUCGGAAUGGCGGUCGUCAGGUCCUCGCGCGGAGCCAUCACGACAAGGCCGUAUUCAUUCGCCCUCAUCUCCACAGGCACCAGCGCCAUCUCCGGUGAUCCUCCAACUGUUUGCUUGUUCCCUUCUUUUUUGUCUUUUUCCUCCAAUUUUUAGAUCGAAGCCCGAGCUUCCAAUUCGGUUUAGAUAAGGUUCGAGUUUGGUGUUAGAUGAUAAUAAUAACAUGAAAAAGAUUCUUUCUUGAUGGGCGAGGGUUUCUGGGUGGUAGUCUUCCAGAGAAAGAUAGGACUUCGAUGAACUCAGGAAUCGUGAUCCAACUUUUGUUGCUUCGAUUUAAAUGGGUAAGAGGUGGGAAUUGAUGGAUGCAACGAGCUGGAGGAUGCUUACCCAUGGGGGAUUUGAUUUGCUAUUGGUUAAUGUCCUGGAUCUCAAUGAGCCCGAGGAAGAGACUUUUCAUACUCCAGAGCAAGUAUAAGAAUCUUAAGGGCCUGGUUGAAAAUUGAGGGCUCUUCAUUGGCAUAUAGGUACGAGUUGCUGUCGCUUGUUGUUCCUUCAGGUACUAUUCUAUUAUCAGUUGAUUAGAAUCAAACUCUGUGGAUCUAGUCCUUUGCAUCGGUUCUGUUAAAGCACAAAAAGAAGAUAUAGCUUAAACCAUGCUGAUUCCACCACGACUAGUGUGGAAGCUUUUCUACAAAAGGAUUUUAACUCAUUUUAGUGGGGUGUAAAUGGUGAGUAUCACACGAACAGAGAGUAACAAUUCUGCAGUUAAUAAACAAUAUUCCAAGCAUAGUGAAUGAUUUAAAUGUUGAGUUGCCUGUGAUAGGACUGGCUUAUUAUAGCAUUUGGACAAGUGAUUAUCCAGUGGUGUGGUCCUAUGGACCAUAUGGAAUGACAUGCUUGUCUGUAAUGAUACAGACUCCAUAUGUCAGCGAAACUGAUGGCACCUAUGUUCUGUUCUCUUGGAAAUCUGGGGCAGAAGUGGAAAGAAACUUUUCUAGGCAAGUUAUUGGAUCCAUAAACCCUGGCAAUUUAUUGCUCAUUUGUUAUGACAUGUCAAUUCUAUUACACUCUCCUUUUGCAAAAACAAGAUGUCAAGUACAUCAUCAAUAUGGUCAGGAUAUGUUGCUAUCUGUUGAAUGAAACAAGAGCAACUAGUUUUGCUCUCCCACUGUAAAUUAGUGGUUCUUUAAAAUAGUGAGGAAACAAAGAGUUAAACAGAAAAUUAACUUGCACAUGGAUUACAAAUCUAAACUGGUUUACCAUUAACCUGAGCUAUUAACUGAAACAUAGCAAAGAGUUGACUUGCAUGGUGACUGGCAUCAAAGGCUAAUAUGUAAAUAAAAACGAUUAGCGCCAAUUUAACAAACUGAAGCUAUAUUUUAAUUGUUCAAAUCAACUUAGCUCAAACUGCCAAUAGGUUCAUCAACACGGUACAGUUGGGGGGUCAUGAAAAGGUAUAAUGAAGAAAAUCAUGGCAUUUGAAGAAUAUUAAGGAUGUACUUAAUGUGAUUUCUCAUAAUCUGAUUGAGAUAUUUAUCCUUUUCUAUCUCUACAUGUUUAUAAGGUUAGUUUAGGAUGAACCUUGCUGCCUCACAAGUCGUAAAAUGCGGAUGGACCUGUAAAUGAUUUCUUCACACGAAGCAGCGGUAGGCUGUUGCAAAAGACAGCAAGCACCCCCUGGAGAAGGAAGAGGAAUGAUUAGACAAAGAAGAUCAAAGAAGGGGAGGUUAGAAGUUGGAAGAAGCAGAGGAGAUGAAGAGGGGGCACCUGAAACUUUGUGAUUCUUUUCCUCUUUAAGCAUUUUGAACCUGUCAUUUCCUUAUAUUGAUGUGGAGGUGGAUAAUCCCUCUGAGCCUUGAUGACACCUGUAUUGUCUAGUUUAUGAGACCUAGCUUAAUUAAACAACUUCCUUUGUUUCGCUUGCUUUUUUUUUCUCACUUUGGCAAGCAACUUCUGAUCCAAUGAUUCUUGACCAUGUUGUGGUAAUGGACAAACUUGGAAACAAAUUGUAUGUAAUUCCUAGAGCUAGUUAUGAGGAUGAAAUAAACAGAUUUUAUUGAGUCUUUAAA
Musa acuminata AAA Group (dessert banana) is the source of this 2917-nucleotide long non-coding RNA. RefSeq lists it as uncharacterized. The transcript has 2 exons. NCBI's taxonomy places the organism in Eukaryota, Viridiplantae, Streptophyta, Magnoliopsida, Zingiberales, Musaceae. The record is from RefSeq and is a predicted model, not a curated record.